This is a long non-coding RNA of Cygnus atratus (black swan), 510 nucleotides long. RefSeq lists it as uncharacterized. The transcript has 3 exons. NCBI's taxonomy places the organism in Eukaryota, Metazoa, Chordata, Aves, Anseriformes, Anatidae. The record is from RefSeq and is a predicted model, not a curated record.
AAAAUUUGACAGAGCCAAGAGCCUGAAGAUGCUUCUGCUGUCCUGCACAUGCUCAGUGACCUGAAGGGGAUCUAGACAAGUCUCUCCUUAGCAGUUCCCAAGCUAUUCUUUCUCUCAUGCCUUGCUGCUCCCAGAAGAAAGGGCAGCUCUUGGAGGACACUAGUCCUGAGAAAGCCUGUUGGAUCACCACAGCCCACUUGACUUCUCCAAUCCCAAAUUCUUCUGCUUUUAACAUAGGCAGUAGGCUGGCAGCUGGCACUUGUGAGGGCUGAGGAGGGAUUGUUUUCAGGCUGAGACCUGUGAGAAAAGAAGAGGCUGAUAAUACAGAUGGAACAGAAGAAAAUGUCAAGUGAUUAAACAGCUGUACAUGAAUGCAGACGCAGCUUAAGAGAUUGACUGUUGCCUGCUGGAUAGAGAGAUGGAAAGAAAAAUUGCAUUCACCUGCAUCAGGAUUGCAAAUCCCACCCCUCUGCCUGCAUAUUUUAAAUUGCAUUUGUUACUUCUUUUUAG